Molecule: ribosomal RNA, 462 nt
Filed under: uncultured bacterium
Lineage: Bacteria
Description: partial 16S ribosomal RNA
Rfam family: Bacterial small subunit ribosomal RNA
Source: RNAcentral
GACGAACGCUGGCGGCGUGCUUAACACAUGCAAGUCGAGCGGUAAGGCCUUUCGGGGUACACGAGCGGCGAACGGGUGAGUAACACGUGGGUGAUCUGCCCUGCACUUCGGGAUAAGCCUGGGAAACUGGGUCUAAUACCGGAUAUGACCUCCUAUCGCAUGGUGGGUGGUGGAAAGAUUUAUCGGUGCAGGAUGGGCCCGCGGCCUAUCAGCUUGUUGGUGGGGUAAUGGCCUACCAAGGCGACGACGGGUAGCCGACCUGAGAGGGUGACCGGCCACACUGGGACUGAGACACGGCCCAGACUCCUACGGGAGGCAGCAGUGGGGAAUAUUGCACAAUGGGCGAAAGCCUGAUGCAGCGACGCCGCGUGAGGGAUGACGGCCUUCGGGUUGUAAACCUCUUUCAGCAGGGACGAAGCGCAAGUGACGGUACCUGCAGAAGAAGCACCGGCUAACUAUGUG